UAUAAGGCUACUGGGGGAUGCUAUAAUGCUACUGGGGAAUGCUAUAAGGUUGAUAUAAUUUUAAUGACCAGAGGAGCAAUUUUGUGUUUUGACUAAUCCCUGUUUUUACCCUUGUUGCAUCUUGUGCCAAUGUGUAUGUUGAAAUAUGUCUAUAAGCUCUUGUCUAUAAUGUUUCUGUAACGUUUUCAGAUGUCUUCGCCUUCUCCUUCGGUUUGCAGUCGAAGUACCCCCUCCUUUCACAUGCAGGGACACUCCGACACUGAAUCCUCUGCUGGCGAGGAAUUGCGUUUUUCUCCUGAACCAAUGGAGUCAACACAGGAGGGUACACAUUCAAUAGAAAAUCCGCGAAGUAGACGUCAUAACGACGAUGAUGACCCAAACAGUCAAAUUGAAAAUCCAUCACCUGUUCAAAAAAGAACUUCCAGGCGUGGUGGUCGCGGACAACGUG
Molecule: long non-coding RNA, 448 nt
Organism: Bufo gargarizans (Asiatic toad)
Lineage: Eukaryota; Metazoa; Chordata; Amphibia; Anura; Bufonidae
Exons: 4
Source: RefSeq, a predicted model, not a curated record